CAUUUUCUGGGUCUUCGUGAACCGGCUUGGUGUGAUGGAACACUGGCCGCACGUACGGGAUGUGAACUGGAUUUCCGGGAAAGAUCACCAGUGAGAUAACUAGCAUGCGGAAUACCAUCUGAUCGUCGUAACAUUAAUUUGGAUCCCUACCGAACAAAAGUCUGCUGUGGUUUACUUAGUCAGCUCCUCAUAUCGGUAAUAUCAAGAUUGGCAAAAUUUUCGGAAAUUUCGUUUUAUCCAAAGUAACAUAACACGCAAGCAUUUUGCAUUAUUUCCAAUUAAAAAUAUUUACCUAUUUCUACAUAAAAAUUUAAUCAAGUUGAUCGAUCGUACGAGUUGAGUAGCUACAAACAAACAUUUCACUUGGUUGAUGCGCCAGUGAAGGUAAUUGGUUCUAUUGUAUUAUUUAUCACGAUCACACUUUCUUUUAUCCUUCGGACCUUGCAUACCAACAAUUUGUUACUGCUCUACAUGCACAGAAAUCUAAGGAAUAGUAAAAAGUGAAAUUGUGUAUACUACGAUAUUCAUGCCAUGCAACAGUUACAAGGUUUGUUUUCAAUGUUAUGGUGAACGACCUCAUGCCAGCACCUUUACCAUUAGGAUGCGAUAAGCUUGCAACAAAAAUACACAUAUAGUGAAAACUUUAUGCAUAGAUACUCAUGUCGUUUACUUUUUCCACUGAAACGUUUUGCAUUAAUCUUGGGAAUUGGUGAACGUAAGAUAACCUAGCGUAAGGUUAUUAAAAAACACAUCGUUGAUCCUAAUAUAGGUACUUCCUUUACUUUCCAAGCUUGUUGUAUAAAAAGUUCUGCACUAAAUGACUAUACAUUAGUGAAAUGUUAUACACUCUAGUCUGCUUCGUAAUACAAAAUUAUAAUGUUGUAACAAACAAACAUUUAUUGCAUUCGUAAAAUAGCCAAGAAAUUUUAAUUGACUAUAGGAACAAUAUUGCACGAUAAGUCAGCUAGGCGCAGAGCAUAUUUAUGCAGCAUGGUAAUUUUAUUAUUAUUCAAUAAUGUCGGGGCCCUAUCUACUUUUUACAAAUAAGCCGAGCAAUUAUGGCUUUCACUAUGAACAAUGGCAACUAAUGCAGCGUGACUCUAGGGAGGUCAUCGAGCUCAUUAUUGUCCCCUAAGUGCUUGUUAACCAUAGAUCUGACUGCACUUACUCGAUGUAAACGAUUUCCAUUUCUUUCAAGUGCAAGUUUUCCAACGCAUAGACAUAAACAAUAUAAGCUUAUUUAAUACAUCGAUAUGCUGUGAACUGUAUCACUUGCUGUUUAUAGCCUGAAAAGUAUUGCAUUACAUGAUUUCUCUUGGGCGCACGAGCGCGCAUCAUUUUACUGACCAAGACCGAGGAAAUUAGUGCGCGACGUGAGAUGUCUGCUUUUCCGAUCCGCAUUCCAUCAUAUCAUAGGCAGUUUUUGCACAGAUAAACACAUAACGAUCUAUACAGAGACCAUUGUUACCUAUAUGAUAAAUCACAUUAAA
Trichoplusia ni (cabbage looper) is the source of this 1490-nucleotide long non-coding RNA. RefSeq lists it as uncharacterized. Lineage: Eukaryota; Metazoa; Arthropoda; Insecta; Lepidoptera; Noctuidae. The record is from RefSeq and is a predicted model, not a curated record. The transcript is spliced from 3 exons.